Molecule: ribosomal RNA, 259 nt
Filed under: uncultured bacterium
Lineage: Bacteria
Description: partial 16S ribosomal RNA
Rfam family: Bacterial small subunit ribosomal RNA
Source: RNAcentral
UACGUAGGGGUGCAAGCGUUUAAUCGGAAUUACUGGGCGUAAAGCGUGCGCAGGCGGUUAUGCAAGACAGAUGUGAAAUCCCCCGGGCUCAACCUGGGAACUGCAUUUGUGACUGCAUGGCUGGAGUGCGGCAGAGGGGGGAUGGAAUUCCUGGUGUAGCAGUGAAAUGCGUAGAUAUCAGGAGGAAUACCGAUGGCGAAGGCAGGUCUCUGGGCUGACACUGACGCUCAUGCACGAAAGGCGUGGGGAGCAAACGAGG